GUCUAUGGCCAUGCCACCCUAAACAAGCCCGAUCCCAUCUGAUAUUGGAAGCUAAGCAGGGUCGGGCCUGGUUAGUACUUGGAUAGGAGACCACCUAGGAAGACCAGGUGCUAUAGGCA
Molecule: ribosomal RNA, 119 nt
Filed under: Pteropus alecto (black flying fox)
Lineage: Eukaryota; Metazoa; Chordata; Mammalia; Chiroptera; Pteropodidae
Source: RNAcentral